GCCGAGCUCCAUAGGUUCAGAGCUGGUCCUAUGGAGCUCGGCUUCGAGCCUAUGGAGCUCGGCUC
Non-coding RNA from Paramuricea clavata, 65 nucleotides. NCBI's taxonomy places the organism in Eukaryota, Metazoa, Cnidaria, Anthozoa, Malacalcyonacea, Plexauridae. The record is from the annotation of a GenBank genome assembly.